UAGCUGUGAUCCUUAAUUGCUGAGCCAA
RNAcentral lists this non-coding RNA (28 nucleotides) under Bombyx mori (domestic silkworm). The record is from RNAcentral. Lineage: Eukaryota; Metazoa; Arthropoda; Insecta; Lepidoptera; Bombycidae.